This 292-nucleotide ribosomal RNA is filed under the name uncultured bacterium. RNAcentral's name for it is "partial 16S ribosomal RNA". It matches the Rfam family "Bacterial small subunit ribosomal RNA", at positions 505 to 796 of the family's 1533-position model. The record is from RNAcentral.
GUGCCAGCAGCCGCGGUAAUACGUAGGCAGCAAGCGUUGUUCGGAAUUACUGGGCGUAAAGAGUGUGUAGGCGGUGCUCUAAGUCUGUUGUGAAAUCUCCCGGCUUAACCGGGAGGGUGCGGCGGAAACUGGAGUGCUUGAGGGUGGGAGAGGUAAGCGGAAUUCCUGGUGUAGCGGUGAAAUGCGUAGAUAUCAGGAGGAACACCUGUGGUGUAGACAGCUUACUGGACCACUUCUGACGCUGAGACACGAAAGCGUGGGUAGCAAACAGGAUUAGAAACCCCUGUAGUCC